CAUCAUAGUCCAGUGUCCAGGG
RNAcentral lists this microRNA (22 nucleotides) under human gammaherpesvirus 4 (Epstein-Barr virus). Its description in RNAcentral is "ebv-miR-BART7-3p". Its record names the gene ebv-miR-BART7-3p. The record is from miRBase by way of RNAcentral. Lineage: Duplodnaviria; Heunggongvirae; Peploviricota; Herviviricetes; Herpesvirales; Orthoherpesviridae.